Molecule: ribosomal RNA, 492 nt
Filed under: uncultured bacterium
Lineage: Bacteria
Description: partial 16S ribosomal RNA
Rfam family: Bacterial small subunit ribosomal RNA
Source: RNAcentral
AGUGAACGCUGGCGGUAGGCCUAACACAUGCAAGUCGAACGGCAGCACAGUAAGAGCCCGCUCUUACGGGUGGCGAGUGGCGGACGGGUGAGGAAUACAUCGGAAUCUACUUUUUCGUGGGGGAUAACGUAGGGUUACUUCCGCUAAUACUGUAUACGACCUAUGGGUGAAAGCAUGAGAUUUUCGCACUUCGCGCGAAUCAUUGAGCCGAUGUCGGAUUAGCUAGUUGGAGGGGUAAAGGCCCACCAAGGCGACGAUCCGUAGCAGGUCUGAGAGGAUGAGCAGCCACACUAGAACUGAGACACGGUCCAGACUCCUACGGGAGGCAGCAGUGGGGAAUAUUAGACAAUGGGCGCAAGCCUGAUCCAGCCAUACCGCGUGGGUGAAAAAAGCCUUCGGGUUGUAAAUCCCUUUUGUUGGGAAAGAAGAGCAGCAGGUUAAUACCGCGCUGGUCUGACGGUACCCAAAGAAUAAGCACCGGCUAACUUCGUG